CUUGCCCCUCACAUAAGAGGUCCAGCCUGCCCAGUGACACUGUUCAACGGCCGCGGUAUCCUAACCGUGCGAAGGUAGCGUAAUCACUUGUUCUUUAAAUAAGGACUAGUAUGAAAGGCACCACGAGAGUCAUACUGUCUCCUUUCUCUAAUCAGUGAAACUAAUCUUCCCGUGAAGAAGCGGGGAUAAAAAUAUAAGACGAGAAGACCCUAUGGAGCUUCAAACAAAUAACACUUGCCCCAGACCCCUAAUUUCAGAAAAAUUUUCUACCCCGGCAUCAUGAUUAUUAGUUUUCGGUUGGGGUGACCACGGAAUAAAAAACAACCUCCGCAAUGAAAGACACUCAUCUACUUAAUCAAGGGCCACGACCCCACACAUCAACAAAUUGACACUAAUUGACCCAACAUGUUGAUCAAUGAAC
Molecule: ribosomal RNA, 421 nt
Filed under: Adenomera sp. J ABGD cluster 46
Lineage: Eukaryota; Metazoa; Chordata; Amphibia; Anura; Leptodactylidae
Description: partial large subunit ribosomal RNA
Rfam family: Bacterial large subunit ribosomal RNA
Source: RNAcentral